RNAcentral lists this non-coding RNA (679 nucleotides) under Sarcophilus harrisii (Tasmanian devil). Its description in RNAcentral is "Bacterial small subunit ribosomal RNA". It matches the Rfam family "Bacterial small subunit ribosomal RNA", at positions 583 to 1533 of the family's 1533-position model. The record is from Rfam by way of RNAcentral. Lineage: Eukaryota; Metazoa; Chordata; Mammalia; Dasyuromorphia; Dasyuridae.
UUCAAUGGUAACCAAAUGUUGGAUUAAGUACAAAUAGAUUGCUUUAUAAUACUGGGUAUCAGGGCUGUAAUACGCCCUAGUUAAUAUUAAAAUACGCAACUUACGUGACUUUACCCAUGCUGAAGACACUAAAGCUAAGGCACAAACUGGGAUUAGAGACCCCACUAUGCUUAGCCGUAAACUGAGGUAAUUAAAUAACAAAAUUACUCGCCAGAGAACUACUAGCCACUGCUUAAAACUCAAAGGACUUAGUGGUGCCCUAGACCUUCCUAGAGGAGCCUGUUCUAUAAUCGAUAAACCCCGAUACACCUCACCCCUUCUCGCUUCUCAGUCUAUAUACCGCCAUCGUCAGCUCACCCCAACAGGGUUCCAAAGUGAGCAAAAUCAUGAAACCAUAAAAACAUUAGGUCAAGGUGUAGCAUAGGAAGGGGGAAGCAAUGGGCUACAUUUUCUAUGUUAGAACACAACGAAUUGUCUAUUGAAACAAAGACAUGAAGGAGGAUUUAGUAGUAAAUUAAGAAUAGAGAGCUUAAUUGAAAUAGGCAAUAAGGUGCAUACACACCACCUGUCACCCUCCUCAAUAAAGUAACUUCAAAUACCUAAUAAAAAUACUCCAAAAAGAGGAGAAAAGUCGUGACAUGGUAAGUGUACUGGAAAGUGCACUUGGACAAUCAAAAUG